CGUCAAAGCUUAAUUAUAUACCCAAUAAAUCCCUCAAACAAACUAAAACCCUACAAUAAUACUGAAUAAUUCCAUACCUCUAUGGAAAACAUAAUGUUAAAACUAGUAACAUGAGGUUAAGACCCUUCUCUCAAAUGUAAGUGUAAAUCAGAAUGGAACAUACACUGAUAAUUAACAGCCUAAACUAAAGUAAUAAAUUAUUCAAGAAAACCCUACCAACUCACCUGUUAAUCUAACACAAGAACAUUUAAAGAAAGACUCAAAGAAAAAGAAGGAACUCGGCAAAACUGAUUCCGCCUGUUUACCAAAAACAUCGCCUCCUGAAUUUAGACUAUAGGAGGUCCAGCCUGCCCAGUGACUCUGUUUAACGGCCGCGGUAUUCUAACCGUGCGAAGGUAGCGUAAUCACCUGUUUUUUAAUUAAAGACCUGUAUGAAAGGCAUCACCGAGAAUCACACUGUCUCCUUUCUCAAGUCAGUGAAACUAAUCUCCUCGUGAAAAAGCGAGGAUAAUACUACAAGACGAGAAGACCCUUUGGAGCUUAAGACAAAAUAAAUACCUGCAUCUAUCUUACCCCCAACACCACACAGCAUCCUAUUUAUAAGUCUUGGGUUGGGGCAACCACGGAGUAAAAACAAACCUCCGAGCUGAACGGAAAUUUCCUAAACGAAAAGCAACAGCUUUAUGUAUCAAAAAACUGACAUAAUUUGACCCAAUAUAUUUGAUUAACGAACCAAGUUACCCCAGGGAUAACAGCGCAAUCCACUUAAAGAGUUCAUAUCGCAAAGUGGGCUUACGACCUCG
RNAcentral lists this ribosomal RNA (803 nucleotides) under Eleutherodactylus cubanus (Cuban robber frog). RNAcentral describes it as "partial 16S ribosomal RNA". The stretch from base 239 to 803 matches the Rfam family "Archaeal large subunit ribosomal RNA", at positions 1423 to 2597 of the family's 2987-position model. Lineage: Eukaryota; Metazoa; Chordata; Amphibia; Anura; Eleutherodactylidae. The record is from RNAcentral.